UCACAUGUCACUGCUCUAUCAAUUUUUCUUGAUUGUAUUUUUGUUAUUGGACACUAAGAUCUUAUCUGAGUGGUAUGAGUUUUGAACCUUACUUUUAGGCCUGUCAUAUUUAAGUCUGGCUGGUCCAGUUAGACACCAAAAUUUGUAAGCAUUUUUUUUUUUUAAAGAAAAAAAAAAUGCUGUUACGGUGACUUAAAAAUUGAAGUGCCUUGAUCUCAAAAUUAGGUUUUUGAAAUUUUGAUAAUGUUAAUUUGUACAUGACAUGCCGAGUCGCACUAUGAAACUUUGAGAGAAGGUGAAUGGAUAUAGGUUUAGAUACGAAACAACAACAUUGGAUAAUCAAUUUGGUUUUAUGCCAAAAAGAUAUCUAAUGGGGAAAUAUAGAGAAGCCUGUAAAGAUUUGUGCAUGAUUUUUGUUGAUUUAGAAUAACAUAUGAUAGAAUACAUAGAUAGGUUAUGUGAUGGGUUUUAGAAAAGAAAGGAGUUUAGUAAGGAUAUGUGUGAUAGAGUUGUAACUAAUAUAAGAACAAGUGGAGGCAUCAUAAGUGAGUUUUCUAUUACAAUAGGUUUGCAUUAAGGAUCAAUUUUUAUGUCUAUAUCUCUCUGCACUGGUUAUGGAUGAACUCACUAGAUUAAUUCAAGAUUAAGUCACUUCGUGUAUGCUUUUGCUACGUGGAUAGUUUUAGUGGAUGAAACUAGACUUGAAGUUAAAGCCAAGCUAGAAAUCUAAAGGGAUGCUAUAGAUUAAGUAGGUCUGAAACAGAAUAUAUGGAGUUUUAGUUUAGUAUAAAGAGAAAUAAAGAUGAAGGGUUUUAAAACUUGAUUUUCAAAAGAUACCAACGAGUUUGUGCUUUUGAUAUCUUGGAUCAAUAAUUCAUAAGGAUGGAGAGACUGAAGAGGAUGUGAAUUAUAGGAUAAGGGUGGGGUGGGUGAAUUGGAAAGGCGCAUUAGGAGUAUUUUGUGGUAACUUUGUGAUUGUAGAAUACAUAUUAAGUUAAAGGAAAAGUUUUACAAGAAUUUUUGUAAGACCAACUGACCAACAAUGUUAUAUGGUAUUGAAUUUUGGGUUAUUAAGAAGCACAUUGUUUAUAAAAUAAGAAUAGUUGAAAUGAGAAUGUUAAGAUGAAUAAAUGGAAAUAUAGGAUAUGAAGUGAAAAUUUU
This is a long non-coding RNA of Quercus lobata, 1161 nucleotides long. RefSeq lists it as uncharacterized. The record is from RefSeq and is a predicted model, not a curated record. The transcript is spliced from 2 exons. NCBI's taxonomy places the organism in Eukaryota, Viridiplantae, Streptophyta, Magnoliopsida, Fagales, Fagaceae.